UACGUAGGGUGCGAGCGUUGUCCGGAAUUAUUGGGCGUAAAGAGCUUGUAGGCGGUUUGUCGCGUCUGCUGUGAAAAUCCGGGGCUCAACCCCGGACUUGCAGUGGGUACGGGCAGACUAGAGUGUGGUAGGGGAGACUGGAAUUCCUGGUGUAGCGGUGAAAUGCGCAGAUAUCAGGAGGAACACCGAUGGCGAAGGCAGCUUACUACACGAUCAUUGACGCUGAGGCACGAAAGCGUGGGGAGCAAACAGG
RNAcentral lists this ribosomal RNA (253 nucleotides) under uncultured bacterium. RNAcentral's name for it is "partial 16S ribosomal RNA". It matches the Rfam family "Bacterial small subunit ribosomal RNA", at positions 524 to 776 of the family's 1533-position model. The record is from RNAcentral.